RNAcentral lists this long non-coding RNA (302 nucleotides) under Phoenix dactylifera (date palm). Its description in RNAcentral is "long non-coding RNA (PDAC_LNC002437)". The record is from RNAcentral. Lineage: Eukaryota; Viridiplantae; Streptophyta; Magnoliopsida; Arecales; Arecaceae.
AGUCAUUCUCGGCCACUAGCAAGGCCAGCUCAGUUGCAUUCGAUCAGUAGCAUCUUUGAGCCCAUUAUAGUGCCUCUUGGCUAGAUAGUAUUUUAUUAUACCAACUUGCAUGCAUGAUUAAAAUAUCAGCAUAAUCAUGGUGCAUACAUGGCCAUAGUUUAUGAGAUCAUGCAAGUUACUUAUCCAUCAUAACAUAUCAUGCAUGAAUAACACUUUAAAAACUUAACAAACAUAGUAACAUGAUCCACAAUAAGAUUAAAAUAGAUUACUUACUUUCUUCACAAAUCAUGUAUACAAUUCAA